GGUCCGUUAGUUCAUCGGCUAGAACACUAGCUUGUCACGCUAGGAAGAUGGGUUCGACUCCCAUACGGACCGCCA
RNAcentral lists this transfer RNA (75 nucleotides) under Treponema sp. RNAcentral's name for it is "tRNA-Asp". It matches the Rfam family "tRNA". Rfam says of the family: Transfer RNA (tRNA) molecules are approximately 80 nucleotides in length. The record is from RNAcentral. RNAcentral also lists the same sequence under 1 other name. Lineage: Bacteria; Pseudomonadati; Spirochaetota; Spirochaetia; Treponematales; Treponemataceae.